Tympanuchus pallidicinctus (lesser prairie-chicken) is the source of this 5173-nucleotide long non-coding RNA. RefSeq lists it as uncharacterized. The record is from RefSeq and is a predicted model, not a curated record. NCBI's taxonomy places the organism in Eukaryota, Metazoa, Chordata, Aves, Galliformes, Phasianidae. The transcript has 3 exons.
UCCAUUGAGGUCCCUCUGAAUGGAAUCUCUUCCUUCCACCGUGUCAACUGCACCUCUCAGCUUGGUGUCAUUACAGACUUGCUGAGGGUGCACUCAGUUCUGUCAUUGAUGUCACUGAUAAUGUAGGGAAUGUGUUAAUUGCUUGAGAAGUCCACACGACCAUCUUACACAGUAAGCUCCUUUAAUAAUAGGGCGUUAAAAAAUUUCAGAGAUCUAAAGAGCGACAUUGUCUUUAGUAAAUCUUUCUAAAAAAUGAAAUGCCGAGUGAAGUUCACAGCACUGUUUUGAACUUCAUAUUUCUUUUCUGAAUUUGUGCUUUCAUACUUGAGGAAAACAUGGGAUGAAGCAGUGGGAAAGUUCAAGAUGAAUGGAUGUUGCAAGCAUGCUGUAAAAGGCACUCAAGGCCAGGCUGGACGUGGCUCAGGACAACCUGGUCUAGAGGUUGGUGACCCUCCCACAUAACAGGGGGGUUGAAACUAGAUGAUCACUGUGGUCCUUUUCAACCCAGGCCAUUCUGUGAUUUGUAUAAUCAAUGAAUAUUAAGAUGUUAUCAUUACAAAAUAAACAAGAGAGUUAGGCAAAGCAGGUUAUGAUAACAAAAAGAGAAUAGAUAGAAAGCUUACCCGUAUCCUAGGCUCACUUACAAAACUCCAGCAAAGCGGAUCUCCAGACGAGAUCCUUUCCCACUGGUAGCCAGCUCUUAAAUAGGUCUAGGAGAGGUGGAGCCAGGCUCCACCCCUUCUGGCAGCACAGGUGAAUUGCCUUCACCUGUACUCCUGUGGCUGACUCAUGGCUUGCCUUGGGUGAUUAAUCAGAGGUUCAGGCCAUGACCCAGCAGUUCCCAUACAGUGGUUCUAUGACUACAUCCUGAACUUGGAAACAAGCCUGAGAAUACUUGUGUACACUUACAGUAUGUUACUGGUAGAUUAAUUGGGGCUUACUGUUUUACAUGUUCUAAGGAAGAACAUGCAAAACUUCAGACAGUUGUGUUUAUCUGUACUGAUACUUCUGCGGAUUGCAAAGUAUUCAAGCAGUGUGUAUGUGAGCUGUCUCUGAAAGGUGGAAAAGCAGAAGUUUGAUUGGCUUAAACUUAGGAGCAAAAUACCAUAUGUACCUUCCUCACGGAAAACAAUGUUCCUGUUGCACUGCCAUCCAUUCAGUUCUUUGAUAUAGCUUGGUGCAGUGCGAGCAUGGAAGCAUAAAAAAAGGCAUCCGUUGUCUACUGAGGCAUCCAAACAAUCUUGUACCUCUUACACAUUCUUUCCUGUUAAGUAACUUGAUCCACCUUCUAUCAUUAUACUGCUUAUUUAAAUUUGGAUACUUGGCACAGAGCAUCUUGUGUGCAUGUCGUGCACAGAAUGCGUUAGGUGAUCUGUGAGUUUCCAGCAGCGCAUUAGGUAACAUGGCAGGUUCUCCAAGUGAAAGUUGUGCAGUUUUUGUAGGCUUUUCUAUCUGGUGAAUGCACUGAGACCAAACAGGGCAAGUAGUUCUUGGGUUGAUCUCAAGUAAGAUUUAUUUUGACUAAUGAUUUUUUUUUCUAUUUAAUUUUUAUCUUGCCUAUCAAAAUAUCUCGCUCCUUUUAGACUGGUAUAAUGAUCUUCAGGUCUGCCUUCAGCAGGAAUGUGUUGUGUCCUAAAAAUGUAUCAUAAGUUUGAAUAGCAGAGUAAAACAAGUGCAUUGCUUCAUAGUAAUCCUUUAGAAUGAUCUGGGUUGAAAAGGACCACAAUGAUCAUCUAUUUUCAACCCCCUUGCUACGUGCAGGGUUGCAAACCACUAGACCAGGCUGCCCAGAGCCACAUCCAGUCUGGCCUUGAAUGCCUCCAGGGAUGGGGAUUUACAACCUCCUUGAGCAAUCUGUUCCAGUGUGUAGUAACAAACCUAACUGGGUUCUGAACGGAGACCUAGAAAACAGAAUAGACCAGGCAAAUAGGUAAACUGUGUCUCCUGUAAGCAGAACUUUACUGAGUGUAAUCCUGAAAGGGUUUUUUUGGCUUAUUCGUUGUGUUUUGCCGUAGGCUUUGGCAUGAACAGCAGAAGUGUGGAAGCACCAGCUGCUAGAAUGAGUGUCAGCUAGAAGCUUCAGAAGCUGUUUUUGGUGGCUCCUUCUUUGCCAGAGCCCAUGUUCUGUUCUCCUUGCUACUGGCUUUGUUUUAUGUUAGCGCAGACUUGCAGCAGAAUGAUCCAGACUUGAUGGAAGAAGUUUAUUGCUGGCUGCUGAGAGCGUGACUUGAUGUUCUGUAAGCUGGUUUUUGGGGUUGUUUUUUUUUUUUUUGAAGUACAUACACUAAAUGCAGAUGGGUUGCAGAAAUGCUGAGCAGUUCUGUUAUUCUUUUCCUUUGCAAUAGCAUUUCUCUUGAUUGCAAAUCCUCAUUUCAGUAAAACUAAAGAUGUUGGUAGUCCUUUAGUACUAAAUCAAUUGAAGGACACAAAUUCUUCUGUUCCAGUUUCUAAAUAUCUGACAUAAAGCCCACAAAUCGAUUGUGUGACUGCCUACAUUGAAUCACUCUGAAGUUGGUCUUUUUAUCUCUUUAUGAGAAAGAUGCAUUUUUAAUAGCGAGCACUUGAGCAGCAUUGUCCUCAGUGUGCGAUGCAGCAGACUGCAGCAGAGGUAGGAGUGCAGAAGGGCUGUGUGAUCAGUACGGUAUUGCCUGGAUGGGUCUAAAAGCAUUUGUAUCAGGGGAGCUAGCAGUUACAGCGGUUUGUUUCCUGUCUUUCUGGGUUGAGAAGAGUUAUUGAUAUAUAGGCUUCAGCUGGCAUUUGGGUGUGUUUUUAUGUGAGAUUAAGAACCUUUCUUCAGUGUGGAAUGCCCGAUACGCAGCAGGAUAUGAUACGUGGCUUAUUUGUUUUAGCCUGUGCUUUGCUGCAGCAGCUGGCUUCUGCUCUCCCAUCUUGUGGCUGUGCAGCUUAACCCUAUCUGAAAUGGGAGUAAUGUCUGUCUGAUUCCUGUAAAAAUUUGCUCAUUUUUGUGGUUUCUAGUCAAUGGAUGUUGAACUUUGAAUAAUGAACAAAACAUUGAGUAUGGAAUUCUGGGACAGCAUUUUGCUUCUCUUUGUUCCUCUCUGCUUUCUGUUUGUUUUCAAAUAAGCACAGAUCACCAGUGGGACUGCAGCUAUUCAAAUAGAGGCAGCUCCCAGUCCCAAGCCAGGAAGCGCUUGGCCCCCGAAGCGUAACGUCUGCUGCGCUGCCAGGCUGCAAGCUGAGCAGUAGAUGUGCUCAGCGCUGCCAGAUGACCACCAGCCCCUGCCGAGUGUAGAUCUUCUCAACUCUCACUGAUAGCAGGAAUCUGCUGCUGAGUGUUUGUGCUCUCUGCACCAAGGUUCGGUGACAGCUUUGCCUGAACAUGCCUCUGCUCCUGAGCUGGAGCCCAUGCCGUAAGCGCUCUGACUUCUGUCACUGCUAUUCAAGAAAGCGUGUGGUAUCUCCAUGGAGAUACUCUGCCUGGAAUUGUGACAAAAAAAAAAGCAUGGAGGAGAACUGCUGCAUGCAUGAUUUAGUAGACUUGAUGUACUCUCUAUUUUACAACUUCUAGCUAUAAGUGCUGAAUCUUAUUGUAGAUGGUGCAGAACUUGACUAGUGAGAUCCAUUCCGAUUUGAGCACAGCUGAUGUUCCUUAUUGGAUCAACGCACUGAAUCAGAUCUAACUGGGUAAAGUGAUUCAUACAACGCUAGGCUAUUCAAAUAUGCAUGAUAACUGAUUUAGAUUCCCAAGAGGCUUUUUCCUUAAUUAGACUUAUCAGAGGCAUCAUGUUUCCUUAGAGUGAAAUAUUGUCUCGUUAAAGUUGUUGUAAAGUUAUUCUUACUUUCCUCUCACCUUUGGACAUUUUAUUUUUGUGAAACUAAGUUUUGGAGGCAAUUCUCUUCGCGCUGAGGAUUUUUGGUAUAGGCCCUGAAGAAAGACCACUGCUCUUUUGAGUUCUUGAGUUCUCUUGGCUCUUACACAUUGCUGAACAAUUGCUCUCAACUGUUAGCCUUGGAUAACAUCUCAAUAAUUCCACACAGUUACUGAGAUUUAGAAGGAGUAGCUAUGAACACGAUUUCAAGAGUAUUAAAGUUGAAGUACCACUUUUGUCUCUGGUAAAUGUGUACAUCUCUCAGCAUUCUGGAAGGGAGCAAAGCUCAUCUGAAGCCCACACAUCCUUUUUGUGUGGCUGUCCUCAAUUAUUUUGUCCUCCACCUUGUGUUGGUAGUGGGAGACAAGCCAUGUGUAAGACCUUGACUUUGUUGAGCCUCAAGAGAUUCCCCUGGGCACACUGCUUGAGCCUAUGUAGGUCUCUCUGAAUGGCAUCCUGUCCUUUGAGAAUGUUGACUGUACCACGCAGCUUGGUGUCACCUGCAAACUUGGUGAGGAUGCACUCAAUCCCACUGUUGAUGUCACCGAUGAGCAUCUAUCUCAGCAGCGAUCCCUUAAAGAUACUGCUUGUCACUGAUCUCCAUCCAGACAUUGAGUCAUUGACCACCACUCUUUGAGUACGAUCUCACAACCAGUUCCUCAUCCACUGAACAGUCCACCUAUCAAAUUCAUGUCUUUCCAAUUUGGGGAGAAAAAUGUUAUGGAGGACUGUAUCAAAGGCCUUACUGAAGUCCAGGUAAAUGACAUUACAGGAUCAGAAUGGUUUGAGUCAGAAGGGAGCUUUAAAGGCCACAGGGUCCAACCUCUCCGCAAUGAACAGGGACAUGAGAGCUCCCAUCUCUGGCUCUUCCCUUGUCCACUGCUGCAAUUACAUCAAUAUUGACUACAUAGAAAACUAGGUUGGUCAGGCAGGACUUGACCUUGGUGAAGCCAUAGCGGAUGUCCCAUAUCACCUCCUUCUCCUCUGUACACCUUAGCAUAGGUUCCAGGAGGAUCUGUUUUAUGCUUCCCUGGCUCCGAGGAGAGGCUGACAGGAUGGUAGUUCCCUGGGUCAUCCUUUCUACCUUUUGUAAAAAUGUGUGUUACAGUAAUAAUGUGACAGUGCACUUCUCAUCAAAAAUCUAAGGAAAUUUAAUGAGUGAUAAAUAUAGGCAUGUCCUGUAUUACACUUUCGGUUCCUCCUGGUUUGACAGCAACUGUCCCAGAAAAGUGCCAUAGAACUAUCAGCUCAUACUUUUUCACCUGAGAAGCCCUCUAUGACUCCCUUUGGAAUGUAGUCAUCUGCUUUUCUGCUUAGCAGUAUUGGGUGAUGAGACAUGAGAG